GCCCUAGUAACGGCGAGCGAAGCGGCAACAGCUCAAAUUUGAAAUCUGGCUACUUUGUAGUCCGAGUUGUAAUUUGUAGAGGAUGCUUUUGGUGAGGUGCCUUCCGAGUUCCCUGGAACGGGACGCCAGAGAGGGUGAGAGCCCCGUACGGUUGGAUACCAAACCUUUGUAUAGCUCCUUCAACGAGUCGAGUAGUUUGGGAAUGCUGCUCUAAAUGGGAGGUAUAUCUCUUCUAAAGCUAAAUAUAGGCUAGAGACCGAUAGCGCACAAGUAGAGUGAUCGAAAGAUGAAAAGCACUUUGAAAAGAGAGUUAAACAGCACGUGAAAUUGUUGAAAGGGAAGCGCCUAUGACCAGACUUGUUUCUUUCAGUUUUGUUAGUUCUCGGACUGAUUUACUCUGUUAGUACAGGCCAGCAUCAGUUUGUUGUCGGGGAGAAAGGCUUAGGGAAUGUGGCUCCUUCGGGAGUGUUAUAGCCCUUUGCAUAAUACCCUUCGGCAGACUGAGGACCGCGCUUCGGCAAGGAUGCUGGCGUAAUGGUCAUCAGCGACCCGUCUUGAAACACGGACCAAGGAGUCAACCUUAUGUGCGAGUGUUUGGGUGUAAAACCCCAGCGCGUAAUGAACGUGAACGUAGGUGAGAGCUUCGGCGCAUCAUCGACCGAUUCUGAUGUUCUCGGAUGGAUUUGAGUAAGAGCACACAGGGUUGGACCCGAAAGAAGGUGAACUAUGCUUGUAUAGGGUGAAGCCAGAGGAAACUCUGGUGGAGGCUCGCAGCGGUUCUGACGUGCAAAUCGAUCGUCAAAUAUGAGCAUGGGGGCGAAAGA
Molecule: ribosomal RNA, 824 nt
Filed under: Chalaropsis thielavioides
Lineage: Eukaryota; Fungi; Ascomycota; Sordariomycetes; Microascales; Ceratocystidaceae
Description: partial large subunit ribosomal RNA
Rfam family: Eukaryotic large subunit ribosomal RNA
Source: RNAcentral